UCAACUUCAGGGCUUCAUCCCAUUUGUUGGC
RNAcentral lists this non-coding RNA (31 nucleotides) under Rattus norvegicus (Norway rat). Lineage: Eukaryota; Metazoa; Chordata; Mammalia; Rodentia; Muridae. The record is from RNAcentral.